AGAGUUUGAUCCUGGCUCAGAACGUACGCUGGCGGCACGCCUAACACAUGCAAGUCGAACGAAGUAGCAAUACUUAGUGGCAGACGGGUGAGUAACAUGUAGGUAUCUGCCCUUUGGCCUGGAAUAACACGAGGAAACUUGUGCUAAUACCGGAUAAGUCUUUACGGAGAAAGCUUUAUGCACCAUUGGAUGAGCCUGCACUUGAUUAGUUUGUUGGUGGGGUAAUGGCCUACCAAGACUGUGAUCAAUAGCUGAUUUGAGAGGAUGAUCAGCCACAUUGGGACUGAGACACGGCCCAAACUCCUACGGGAGGCAGCAGUGGGGAAUCUUGCACAAUGGAGGAAACUCUGAUGCAGCGAUGCCGCGUGAGUGAAGAAGGCCUUUGGGUUGUAAAGCUGUUUCGUCGGGGAAGAAAAUGACUGUACCCGAAUAAGAAGGUCCGGCUAACUUCGUGCCAGCAGCCGCGGUAAUACGAAGGGACCUAGCGUAGUUCGGAAUUACUGGGCUUAAAGAGUUCGUAGGUGGUUGAAAAAGUUGGUGGUGAAAUCCCAGAGCUUAACUCUGGAACUGCCAUCAAAACUUUUUAGCUAGAGUAUGAUAGAGGAAAGCAGAAUUUCUAGUGUAGAGGUGAAAUUCGUAGAUAUUAGAAAGAAUACCAAUUGCGAAGGCAGCUUUCUGGAUCAUUACUGACACUGAGGAACGAAAGCAUGGGUAGCGAAGAGGAUUAGAUACCCUCGUAGUCCAUGCCGUAAACGAUGUGUGUUAGACGUUGGAAAUUUAUUUUCAGUGUCGCAGCGAAAGCGAUAAACACACCGCCUGGGGAGUACGACCGCAAGGUUAAAACUCAAAUGAAUUGACGGGGACCCGCACAAGUAGUGGAGCAUGUGGUUUAAUUCGAAGAUACGCGCAGAACCUUACCAACACUUGACAUGUUCGUCGCGACUCUAAGAGAUUAGAGUUUUCGGUUCGGCCGGACGAAACACAGGUGCUGCAUGGCUGUCGUCAGCUCGUGUCGUGAGAUGUUGGGUUAAGUCCCGCAACGAGCGCAACCCUCACUUUUAGUUGCCAUCAUUAAGUUGGGCACUCUGAAAGAACUGCCAGUGAUAAGCUGGAGGAAGGUGGGGAUGACGUCAAGUCCUCAUGGCCCUUACGUGUUGGGCUACACACGUGCUACAAUGGUAUCUACAACAGGAAGCAAGACUGCGUGGUCAAGCAAAUCCCUAAAAGAUACCUCAGUUCGGAUUGCACUCUGCAACUCGAGUGCAUGAAGCUGGAAUUACUAGUAAUCGUGGAUCAGCGUGCCACGGUGAAUGCGUUCCCGGGUCUUGUACACACCGCCCGUCACACCAUGGGAGUUGGUUCUACCUUAAGGCAAGGUUUAAUACCCUUGACCACGGUAUAGUCAGCGACUGGGGUGAAGUCGUAACAAGGUAACC
This 1436-nucleotide ribosomal RNA is filed under the name uncultured bacterium. Its description in RNAcentral is "bacterial SSU rRNA". It matches the Rfam family "Bacterial small subunit ribosomal RNA". The record is from RNAcentral.